Molecule: long non-coding RNA, 813 nt
Filed under: Pan troglodytes (chimpanzee)
Lineage: Eukaryota; Metazoa; Chordata; Mammalia; Primates; Hominidae
Description: long non-coding RNA NONPTRT013810
Source: RNAcentral
GAUUCAUCACUGCUACGGAUGCUAUCCUUAAUACAUAUUUACUUUUAGUUUCAGCCCACUUGAAGUUUUGUGCCAGCCUUCUUACCUAAUUAAACAGCACUUCAGCAGCGUGGUUGCUAAUGCCAGAAACCAAAAAACAGUAAACAUGAGUCAAGAUGAAUUAAAAGAUAAGCCAAUUUUUAAGGCCGAGCGCAGUGGCUCACACCUGUAAUCCCAGCACUUUGGGAGGCCAAGGUGGACGGAUCACUUGAGGCCAGGAGUUCGAGACCAGCAUGGCCAACAUGGUGAAACCCCAUCUCUACUAAAAAUACAAAAAUCAGCUGGGUGUGGUGGCGCAUGCCUGUAGUACCAGUUACUCCAGAGACUGAGGCAGGAGAAUUGCUUGAACCUAUGAGGCAGUGAGACAAGAUCACACCACUGCUCUCCAACCUGGGCAACAGAGUGAGGCUCUUGUCUCAAAAAAUAAAUUAAAAAGCCAUUUUUAUAUUCAUUAAAGUAGAGUUAGGAACAACCAAAAUUGCCAAGGAUAAUUAGGGACAUUAUAUAAUGAUAAAAUUCACCAAGACAGUGCUAAAAGUGUAAGCACUUAUUAUCAGAUCUUAAAAAUACAUGAAGAGACCAGGUGCAGAGACUCAUUCAUUCCUGUAAUUCCAAUGCUUUGGGAAGCCAAGGUGGGAGGAUUGCUUGAGGCCAAGAGUUCAAGACCAGCCUACUCAACAUAGGGAGACCCUAUCUCUACAAAAAAUUAAAAAUUAGCUAGGCAUAGUGAUAUACAUCUGUAGUCCUAGGUACUGAGGAGCCUGAGGUGGGAAG